This 507-nucleotide ribosomal RNA is filed under the name uncultured bacterium. RNAcentral's name for it is "bacterial SSU rRNA". It matches the Rfam family "Bacterial small subunit ribosomal RNA", at positions 22 to 518 of the family's 1533-position model. The record is from RNAcentral.
GGUCAGGAUGAACGCUAGCGACAGGCUUAACACAUGCAAGUCGAGGGGCAUCACGGGAGUAGCAAUACAACUGGUGGCGACCGGCGCACGGGUGAGUAACGCGUAUGCAACCUACCUAUCAGAGGGGAAUAACCCGGCGAAAGUCGGACUAAUACCGCAUAAAACAGGGGCACCGCAUGGUGAUAUUUGUUAAAGAAAUUCGCUGAUAGAUGGGCAUGCGUUCCAUUAGGUAGUUGGUGAGGUAACGGCUCACCAAGCCGACGAUGGAUAGGGGAACUGAGAGGUUGGUCCCCCACACUGGUACUGAGACACGGACCAGACUCCUACGGGAGGCAGCAGUGAGGAAUAUUGGUCAAUGGGCGGGAGCCUGAACCAGCCAAGUCGCGUGAAGGAAAAGAAGGAUCUAUGGUUCGUAAACUUCUUUUGCAGGGGAAUAAAGUGCAGGGCGUGUCCUGUUUUGUAUGUACCCUGAGAAUAAGGAUCGGCUAACUCCGUGCCAGCAGCAGC